CAAGGCGGGGACAAAGUAACCUCAAAGGUGCCCCCUCACAUUCUCACUGCCGGGGUGCCAGAGAAAGAGCAUUAGCAGAGGAUCAAGCAAACUUCUUUCACAGGUCUCCCUGGGAACCAGUUCCCCCACAUUCCUGGCAUUUACAGGCUCAGAAAACAGCGGGGCCUUUCCAGGCACAAACUCAACCCGGUCAGCGGUCAGAUCCAGGCUUAUCUUCACCCCCCACGUUUGUCUCGGCUUCUCUCAAAAGCGGAUGCUGAAUCAUGGAACAGUCACCAAAGGCAAACGUUAGCAGUGCUCGCAGGUUCUCGCCUACCCUGGAAUCGGCUCAGCUCCUGGGUCCACUCGGGUCUGAGGGCCAGGCCUCCGUGGGCGCGUGCAGGACCGAGGUCAUCAGAACAUACACGUGGCUAGUGCAUUUCUUCAGCUGCUUCUCCAGGUCUCCACGCCCAAUCUGAAAGACUUCACUC
Molecule: long non-coding RNA, 470 nt
Organism: Artibeus jamaicensis (Jamaican fruit-eating bat)
Lineage: Eukaryota; Metazoa; Chordata; Mammalia; Chiroptera; Phyllostomidae
Exons: 2
Source: RefSeq, a predicted model, not a curated record